GCUUAAUCACUUAUUUAACCCAACAAUAUUAAUAACAAAACAUAACAUAACACCAUAAACUAAACCAUUUUUUUACCUGAGUAUGGGAGACAGAAAAGGUUCAAUCAAAGCAAUAGAAAAAGUACCGCAAGGAAAGCUGAAAGAGAAAUGAAAUAACCCAUAUAAGCACUAAAAAACAAAGACUAAACCUUGUACCUUUUGCAUCAUGAUUUAGCCAGCACCCUCAAGCAAAGAGACCUUUAGUUUGAAACCCCGAAACCAGGUGAGCUACCCCGAGACAGCCUAUUUAAAUUUAGGGCUAACCCGUCUCUGUGGCAAAAGAGUGGGAAGAGCUCCGGGUAGAAGUGACAGACCUACCGAACCUGGUGAUAGCUGGUUGCCUGAGAAGUGGAUAGAAGUUCAGCCUCGUAUAUCCCCAAAUCAACAUACAUAUUAUUAAGACAAUAAGGGAAACAUACGAGAGUUAGUUAAAGGGGGUACAGCCCCUCUAACAAAGGAUACAACCUUUACAGGAGGAUAAAGAUCAUAAUAUAUAAAACAUACUGUUUUAGUGGGCCUAAAAGCAGCCAUCUAAAUAGAAAGCGUUAAAGCUCAGACAGAAAGAAGUUUAUUAUACUGAUAAAAAAUCUUAUUCCCCUAACAAUAUCAGGCUAACCCAUGCCCACAUGGAAGAAAUUAUGCUAAAAUGAGUAACAAGAAGACCUGCUCUUCUCCAAGCACAAGUGUAAACCAGAUCGGACAAACCACUGGAAAUUAACGAACCCAACCCAAGAGAGUAAUGUGAAUAACAAAAAAAUCAAGAAAACCCCACAAUUUUAAACAAUCGUUAACCCCACACUGGAGUGCUACUUUAAAGGAAAGACUAAAAGAAAGGGAAGGAACUCGGCAAACACAAGCCUCGCCUGUUUACCAAAAACAUCGCCUCCUGCAACCAAACCUAGUAUAGGAGGUCCAGCCUGCCCAGUGACUACGGGUUCAACGGCCGCGGUAUUUUGACCGUGCAAAGGUAGCGCAAUCACUUGUCUUUUAAAUAGAGACCUGUAUGAAUGGCUAAACGAGGGCUUAACUGUCUCCCCCUUCAAGUCAGUGAAAUU
RNAcentral lists this ribosomal RNA (1094 nucleotides) under Pseudobrama simoni. RNAcentral describes it as "partial 16S ribosomal RNA". The stretch from base 174 to 1094 matches the Rfam family "Bacterial large subunit ribosomal RNA", at positions 568 to 2043 of the family's 2925-position model. The record is from RNAcentral. Lineage: Eukaryota; Metazoa; Chordata; Actinopteri; Cypriniformes; Xenocyprididae.